RNAcentral lists this ribosomal RNA (792 nucleotides) under Clostridioides difficile. Its description in RNAcentral is "bacterial LSU rRNA". It matches the Rfam family "Bacterial large subunit ribosomal RNA", at positions 163 to 961 of the family's 2925-position model. The record is from RNAcentral. Lineage: Bacteria; Bacillati; Bacillota; Clostridia; Peptostreptococcales; Peptostreptococcaceae.
UACAUAGCUUAAUGAGGGGAACUCAGGGAACUGAAACAUCUAAGUACCUGAAGGAAGAGAAAGAAAUUCGAUUCCGUAAGUAGCGGCGAGCGAACGCGGAUUAGCCCAAACCAAUAAAGUUUUCUUUAUUGGGGUUGCGGACAUAUCAUAACGAAGAGGUAUCGUAAUUGAAGAGGUUUGGAAAGACCCACCACAGAAGGUAAUAGUCCUGUAUGUUAAACGAGAAGACUUUAGAUAUGAUCCAGAGUACCACGGGACACGUGAAACCCUGUGGGAAGCAGGAGGGACCACCCUCCAAGGCUAAAUACUACCUAGUGACCGAUAGCGUAUAGUACCGUGAGGGAAAGGUGAAAAGAACCCCGGGAGGGGAGUGAAAUAGAACCUGAAACCCUGCACUUACAAGCUGUGGAAGCACAUUUCUUGUGUGACCGCGUACUUUUUGUAGAACGGGCCAACGAGUUACGUUAAGUAGCAGGUUAAGCACUUAAGGUGCGGAGCCGUAGCGAAAGCGAGUUUUAACUGAGCGUUCAGUUACUUGACGUAGACCCGAAACCGGGCGACCUACCCAUGAGCAGGAUGAAGCGAAAGUAAAAUUUCGUGGAGGUCCGAACCCACGAGCGUUGAAAAGCUCGGGGAUGACUUGUGGGUAGCGGUGAAAUUCCAAUCGAGCCCGGAGAUAGCUGGUUCUCCCCGAAAUAGCUUUAGGGCUAGCCUCAAGGUGAGAGAUACGGAGGUAGAGCACUGAAUGUCCUAGGGGGUAUUGCACCUACCGAAGACUAUCAAACUCCGAAU